RNAcentral lists this ribosomal RNA (501 nucleotides) under Veillonella parvula. RNAcentral's name for it is "bacterial SSU rRNA". It matches the Rfam family "Bacterial small subunit ribosomal RNA", at positions 28 to 499 of the family's 1533-position model. Lineage: Bacteria; Bacillati; Bacillota; Negativicutes; Veillonellales; Veillonellaceae. The record is from RNAcentral.
GACGAACGCUGGCGGCGUGCUUAACACAUGCAAGUCGAACGAAGAGCGAUGGAGGCUUGCUUCUAUCAAUCUUAGUGGCGAACGGGUGAGUAACGCGUAAUCAACCUGCCCUUCAGAGGGGGACAACAGUUGGAAACGACUGCUAAUACCGCAUACGAUCUAAUCUCGGCAUCGAGGAUAGAUGAAAGGUGGCCUCUACAUGUAAGCUAUCACUGAAGGAGGGGAUUGCGUCUGAUUAGCUAGUUGGAGGGGUAACGGCCCACCAAGGCGAUGAUCAGUAGCCGGUCUGAGAGGAUGAACGGCCACAUUGGGACUGAGACACGGCCCAGACUCCUACGGGAGGCAGCAGUGGGGAAUCUUCCGCAAUGGACGAAAGUCUGACGGAGCAACGCCGCGUGAGUGAUGACGGCCUUCGGGUUGUAAAGCUCUGUUAAUCGGGACGAAAGGCCUUCUUGCGAAUAGUGAGAAGGAUAGACGUACCGGAAUAGAAAGCCACGCAUU